Molecule: ribosomal RNA, 396 nt
Filed under: uncultured bacterium
Lineage: Bacteria
Description: bacterial SSU rRNA
Rfam family: Bacterial small subunit ribosomal RNA
Source: RNAcentral
GACGAACGCUGGCGGCGUGCUUAACACAUGCAAGUCGAGCGGUAAGGCCCUUUCGGGGGUACACGAGCGGCGAACGGGUGAGUAACACGUGGGUGACCUGCCCUUAGCUCUGGGAUAAGCCUGGGAAACUGGGUCUAAUACCGGAUAUGACUCCAUGACGCAUGUUGUGGGGUGGAAAGCCUUGUGCGGCUAGGGAUGGGCCUGCGGCCUAUCAGCUUGUUGGUGGGGUGAUGGCCUACCAAGGCGACGACGGGUAGCCGGCCUGAGAGGGCGACCGGCCACACUGGGACUGAGACACGGCCCAGACUCCUACGGGAGGCAGCAGUGGGGAAUCUUGCGCAAUGGGCGAAAGCCUGACGCAGCGACGCCGCGUGGGGAUGACGGCCUCGGUUGUAA